AAAGCUCAAAUUUGAAAUCUGGCGGCCGUGUGGUCGUCCGAGUUGUAAAUUAGAGAAGCGUCGUCCGCACCGGACCGUGUACAAGUCUCUUGGAAAAGGGCAUCAUAGAGGGUGAGAAUCCCGUCUUUGACACGGAGACCCGGGGCAUUCGUGAUGCGCUCUCGAAGAGUCGAGUUGUUUGGGAUUGCAGCUCAAAACGGGUGGUAAAUUCCAUCUAAAGCUAAAUAUUGGGGAGAGACCGAUAGCGAA
This 249-nucleotide ribosomal RNA is filed under the name Lichenomphalia grisella. RNAcentral describes it as "partial 28S ribosomal RNA". It matches the Rfam family "Eukaryotic large subunit ribosomal RNA", at positions 104 to 344 of the family's 3401-position model. RNAcentral also lists the same sequence under 1 other name. The record is from RNAcentral. Lineage: Eukaryota; Fungi; Basidiomycota; Agaricomycetes; Agaricales; Hygrophoraceae.